ACUCCUGUAGCCCAAUUGGUAGUAGGCGACUGUCUCAAAAACAGUUCAUGUGUGGGUUCGACUCCCACCAGGAGUA
This 76-nucleotide transfer RNA is filed under the name Aliterella atlantica CENA595. It matches the Rfam family "tRNA". From Rfam's summary of the family: Transfer RNA (tRNA) molecules are approximately 80 nucleotides in length. Their secondary structure includes four short double-helical elements and three loops (D, anti-codon, and T loops). Further hydrogen bonds mediate the characteristic L-shaped molecular structure. tRNAs have two regions of fundamental functional importance: the anti-codon, which is responsible for specific mRNA codon recognition, and the 3' end, to which the tRNAs corresponding amino acid is attached (by aminoacyl-tRNA synthetases). tRNAs cope with the degeneracy of the genetic code in two manners: having more than one tRNA (with a specific anti-codon) for a particular amino acid; and 'wobble' base-pairing, i.e. permitting non-standard base-pairing at the 3rd anti-codon position. The record is from Rfam by way of RNAcentral. Lineage: Bacteria; Bacillati; Cyanobacteriota; Cyanophyceae; Chroococcidiopsidales; Aliterellaceae.